AGUGGUUAAGCACUCAGCUGCUAACUGAAAGGUCAGUGGUUUGAACCCACUAGCCACUC
This is a transfer RNA of Loxodonta africana (African savanna elephant), 59 nucleotides long. It matches the Rfam family "tRNA". Rfam says of the family: Transfer RNA (tRNA) molecules are approximately 80 nucleotides in length. Their secondary structure includes four short double-helical elements and three loops (D, anti-codon, and T loops). Further hydrogen bonds mediate the characteristic L-shaped molecular structure. tRNAs have two regions of fundamental functional importance: the anti-codon, which is responsible for specific mRNA codon recognition, and the 3' end, to which the tRNAs corresponding amino acid is attached (by aminoacyl-tRNA synthetases). tRNAs cope with the degeneracy of the genetic code in two manners: having more than one tRNA (with a specific anti-codon) for a particular amino acid; and 'wobble' base-pairing, i.e. permitting non-standard base-pairing at the 3rd anti-codon position. The record is from Rfam. Lineage: Eukaryota; Metazoa; Chordata; Mammalia; Proboscidea; Elephantidae.